GGGCUCACACAAGCGGUGGAGCAUGUGGCUUAAUUCGAGGCAACGCGAAGAACCUUAUCCUGGAUUUGACAUGUGCGGAUUAACUCUCUGAAAGGAGAGCCACGCCUUCGGGUGGAACGUGCACAGGUGCUGCAUGGCUGUCGUCAGCUCGUGUCGUGAGAUGUCGCGUUAAGUCGCUAAACGAGCGUAACCCCUAUCCUUAGUUGCCAGCACGUUAUGGUGGGGACUCUAAGGAGACCGCCGGCGUCAAGCCGGAGGAAGGCGGGGAUGACGUCAAGUCCUCAUGGCCUUUAUGUCCAGGGCUGCACACGUGCUACAAUGGUGCGUACAGAGGGACGCUAAGCCGCGAGGCCAAGCAAAUCCCAAAAAGCGUGCCCCAGUUCGGAUUGCAGGCUGCAACUCGCCUGCAUGAAGCCGGAAUCGCUAGUAAUCGCCGGUCAGCAAUACGGCGGUGAAUGUGUUCCUGAGCCUU
This 472-nucleotide ribosomal RNA is filed under the name uncultured bacterium. RNAcentral's name for it is "bacterial SSU rRNA". It matches the Rfam family "Bacterial small subunit ribosomal RNA", at positions 917 to 1382 of the family's 1533-position model. The record is from RNAcentral.